This 65-nucleotide transfer RNA is filed under the name Eurytoma sp. TJS-2016. RNAcentral's name for it is "tRNA-Cys". The record is from RNAcentral. Lineage: Eukaryota; Metazoa; Arthropoda; Insecta; Hymenoptera; Eurytomidae.
AGUUUAAUAAUUUAUAUAAAAUUUUAAUUUGCAAAAUUAAAUUAAUCGAGUUUUGAUUUAAACUU